RNAcentral lists this unclassified non-coding RNA (269 nucleotides) under plant metagenome. RNAcentral describes it as "partial contains small subunit ribosomal RNA, internal transcribed spacer 1, and 5.8S ribosomal RNA". The record is from RNAcentral.
UUUCCGUAGGUGAACCUGCGGAAGGAUCAUUAAUGAGUUGUCAUGGGGUUCGAUGCUGGCAGCCAAUUUUUGGAUGCAUGUGCUUGCCCUAACAAUCAUCUUCCAAACACCUGUGCACAUUUGUGAGGGAGUCUUGAGUUGGUUGCCGCUCUUGGGUGAUUUUCUCACAUUCCCUUAAAUCAUUAUACGCUAUUAACAAUGUUGAACGUGCUCUGUGCCGCAAGGCUAUUAAUAUAAUACAACUUUUAACAACGGAUCUCUUGGCUCUC